AACGAACGCUGGCGGCAUGCCUAACACAUGCAAGUCGAACGAGAUCUUCGGGUCUAGUGGCGCACGGGUGCGUAACGCGUGGGAAUCUGCCCUUUGGUUCGGAAUAACAGUUGGAAACGACUGCUAAUACCGGAUGAUGACGAAAGUCCAAAGAUUUAUCGCCAGAGGAUGAGCCCGCGUAGGAUUAGCUAGUUGGUGGGGUAAAGGCGCACCAAGGCGACGAUCCUUAGCUGGUCUGAGAGGAUGAUCAGCCACACUGGGACUGAGACACGGCCCAGAGUCCUACGGGAGGCAGCAGUGGGGAAUAUUGGACAAUGGGCGAAAGCCUGAUCCAGCAAUGCCGCGUGAGUGAUGAAGGCCUUAGGGUUGUAAAGCUCUUUUACCCGGGAUGAUAAUGACAGGACCGGGAGAAUAAGCUCCGGCUAACUCCGUGCCAGCCGCCGCGGUAA
Molecule: ribosomal RNA, 449 nt
Filed under: uncultured bacterium
Lineage: Bacteria
Description: partial 16S ribosomal RNA
Rfam family: Bacterial small subunit ribosomal RNA
Source: RNAcentral